AUUGAACGCUGGCGGAAUGCUUUACACAUGCAAGUCGAACGGCAGCACGGGAGCUUGCUCCUGGUGGCGAGUGGCGAACGGGUGAGUAACAUAUCGGAACGUACCCAGUGGUGGGGGAUAACACAUCGAAAGAUGUGCUAAUACCGCAUACGACCUGAGGGUGAAAGGGGGGGAUCGCAAGACCUCUCGCCGUUGGAGCGGCCGAUAUCGGAUUAGCUAGUUGGUGAGGUAAAGGCUCACCAAGGCGACGAUCCGUAGCUGGUCUGAGAGGAUGAGCAGCCACACUGGGACUGAGACACGGCCCAGACUCCUACGGGAGGCAGCAGUGGGGAAUUUUGGACAAUGGGGGCAACCCUGAUCCAGCCAUUCCGCGUGAGUGAAGAAGGCCUUCGGGUUGUAAAGCUCUUUCGGCAGGAACGAAACGGUGGAUCCUAAUACGGUCUGCUAAUGACGGUACCUGAAGAAGAAGCACCGGCUAACUACGUGCCAGCAGCCGCAGUAA
Molecule: ribosomal RNA, 502 nt
Filed under: uncultured bacterium
Lineage: Bacteria
Description: partial 16S ribosomal RNA
Rfam family: Bacterial small subunit ribosomal RNA
Source: RNAcentral